AACGAACGCUGGCGGCAUGCCUAACACAUGCAAGUCGAACGAGACCUUCGGGUCUAGUGGCGCACGGGUGCGUAACGCGAGGGAACCUGCCCUUAGGGUCGGAAUAACUACCCGAAAGGGGUGCUAAUACCGGAUAAUGUCUUCGGACGAAAGAUUUAUCGACUUUGGAUGGGCCCGCGUUGGAUUAGAUAGUUGGUAGGGUAAAAGCCUACCAAGGCGACGAUCCAUAGCUGGGCUGAGAGGAUGAUCAGCCACACUGGGACUGAGACGCGGCCCAGACUCCUACGGGAGGCAGCAGUGGGGAAUAGUGGAAAAUGGGCGAAAGCAUGAUCCAGUAAUGACGGUUGAGUGAUGAAGGCCUGAGGGUUGUAAAGCUCUUGUACCCGGGAUGAUAAUGACAGUACCGGGAGAAUAAGCCCCGGCUAACUCCGUG
This 433-nucleotide ribosomal RNA is filed under the name uncultured bacterium. Its description in RNAcentral is "partial 16S ribosomal RNA". It matches the Rfam family "Bacterial small subunit ribosomal RNA", at positions 29 to 507 of the family's 1533-position model. The record is from RNAcentral.